Small nucleolar RNA from Megalops cyprinoides (Indo-Pacific tarpon), 66 nucleotides. RefSeq annotates it as small nucleolar RNA SNORD58. Lineage: Eukaryota; Metazoa; Chordata; Actinopteri; Elopiformes; Megalopidae. The transcript has a single exon. The record is from RefSeq and is a predicted model, not a curated record.
UUGCAGUGGUGACCAACUUAGGAGACCUUUGGAAUUAAACAUGACAACAGACAACACCUGAACUGU